RNAcentral lists this ribosomal RNA (303 nucleotides) under Mycoplasma suis. Its description in RNAcentral is "bacterial SSU rRNA". It matches the Rfam family "Bacterial small subunit ribosomal RNA", at positions 280 to 575 of the family's 1533-position model. Lineage: Bacteria; Bacillati; Mycoplasmatota; Mollicutes; Mycoplasmatales; Mycoplasmataceae. The record is from RNAcentral.
AUGGUAGCUGAGACUGAGAGGUUGAACAGCCGCAAUGGGAUUGAGAUAUGGCCCAUAUUCCUACGGGAAGCAGCAGUGAGGAAUUUUUCACAAUGGACGAAAGUCUGAUGGAGCAAUACCACGUGAACGAUGAAGGUCUUCUGAUUGUAAAGUUCUUUUAUUUAGGAAAAAAAGCGCGACAGGAAAUGGUCGCGCCCUGAUUGUACUAAUUGAAUAAGUGACAGCUAACUAUGUGCCAGCAGCUGCCGUAAAACAUAGGUCACGAGCAUUAUCCGGAUUUAUUGGGCGUAAAGGAAGCGUAGG